This 393-nucleotide ribosomal RNA is filed under the name uncultured bacterium. RNAcentral's name for it is "bacterial SSU rRNA". It matches the Rfam family "Bacterial small subunit ribosomal RNA", at positions 28 to 420 of the family's 1533-position model. The record is from RNAcentral.
GACGAACGCUGGCGGCGUGCUUAACACAUGCAAGUCGAGCGGUAAGGCCCUUUCGGGGGUACGACGAGCGGCGAACGGGUGAGUAACACGUGGGUGACCUGCCCUCAGCUCUGGGAUAAGCCUGGGAAACCGGGUCUAAUACCGGAUAUGACUCCAUGACGCAUGUUGUGGGGUGGAAAGCCUUGUGCGGCUGAGGAUGGGCCCGCGGCCUAUCAGCUUGUUGGUGGGGUGAUGGCCUACCAAGGCGACGACGGGUAGCCGGCCUGAGAGGGCGACCGGCCACACUGGGGACUGAGACACGGCCCAGACUCCUACGGGAGGCAGCAGUGGGGAAUCUUGCGCAAUGGGCGAAAGCCUGACGCAGCGACGCCGCGUGAGGGAUGACGGCCUGGU